UAGCAAACUAUGCUUAGACCCGGGAGA
Molecule: small RNA, 27 nt
Filed under: Bombyx mori (domestic silkworm)
Lineage: Eukaryota; Metazoa; Arthropoda; Insecta; Lepidoptera; Bombycidae
Description: ovarian small RNA-3041
Source: RNAcentral